UACCGAGGGUGCGAGCGUUAAUCGGAAUUACUGGGCGUAAAGCGUGCGUAGCCGGUUAUGUAAGUCAGGUGUGAAAGCCCCGGGCUCAACCUGGGAAUUGCAUUUGAGACUGCAUAGCUAGGGUGCGGAAGAGGGAAGCGGAAUUUCCGGUGUAGCGGUGAAAUGCGUAGAUAUCGGAAGGAACAUCAGUGGCGAAAGCGGCUUCCUGGUCCAGCACCGACGUUCAGGCACGAAAGCGUGGGGAGCAAACAGG
RNAcentral lists this ribosomal RNA (253 nucleotides) under uncultured bacterium. RNAcentral's name for it is "partial 16S ribosomal RNA". It matches the Rfam family "Bacterial small subunit ribosomal RNA", at positions 524 to 776 of the family's 1533-position model. The record is from RNAcentral.